GAUGAACGCUGGCGGCGUGCCUAAUACAUGCAAGUCGAGCGAACAGACGAGGAGCUUGCUCCUGGGACGUUAGCGGCGGACGGGUGAGUAACACGUGGAUAACCUACCUAUAAGACUGGGAUAACGUCGGGAAACCGGAGCUAAUACCGGAUAAUAUAUUGAACCGCAUGGUUCAAUAGUGAAAGACGGUUUUGCUGUCACUUAUAGGUGGAUCCGCGCCGCAUUAGCUAGUUGGUAAGGUAACGGCUUACCAAGGCUACGAUGCGUAGCCGACCUGAGAGGGUGACCGGCCACACUGGAACUGAGACACGGUCCAGACUCCUACGGGAGGCAGCAGUAGGGAAUCUUCCGCAAUGGGCGCAAGCCUGACGGAGCAACGCCGCGUGAGUGAUGAAGGUCUUCGGAUCGUAAACCUCUGUUAUUAGGGAAGAACAAAUGUGUAAGAAACUAUGCACGUGUUGACGGUACCUAAUCAGAAAGCAACGGCUAACUACGUG
This 497-nucleotide ribosomal RNA is filed under the name uncultured bacterium. RNAcentral describes it as "partial 16S ribosomal RNA". It matches the Rfam family "Bacterial small subunit ribosomal RNA", at positions 28 to 507 of the family's 1533-position model. The record is from RNAcentral.